RNAcentral lists this ribosomal RNA (311 nucleotides) under uncultured Sphingomonas sp. RNAcentral's name for it is "bacterial SSU rRNA". It matches the Rfam family "Bacterial small subunit ribosomal RNA", at positions 193 to 524 of the family's 1533-position model. Lineage: Bacteria; Pseudomonadati; Pseudomonadota; Alphaproteobacteria; Sphingomonadales; Sphingomonadaceae. The record is from RNAcentral.
UUUGGAGCCCAAAGAUUUAUCGCCCAGGGAUGAGCCCGCGUAGGAUUAGCUAGUUGGUGGGGUAAUGGCCUAACAAGGCGACGAUCCUUAGCUGGUCUGAGAGGAUGAUCAGCCACACUGGGACUKAGACACGGCCCAGACUCCUACGGGAGGCAGCAGUGGGGAAUAUUGGGCAAUGGGCGAAAGCCUGAUCCAGCAAUGCCGCGUGAGUGAUGAAGGCCUUAGGGUUGUAAACCUCUUUUACCGGGGAUGAUAAUGACAGUACCUGGGGAAUAAGCCCCGGCUAACUCCGUGCCAGCAGCCGCGGUAAU